UCCGAGUUGACCCCGGCAGUCUCCCGUGAGUCCCCAACCCGCCAAAGACGGUUGCUGGCAACACAGGACAAGGGUUGCGCUCGUUGCGGGACUUAACCCAACAUCUCACGACACGAGCUGACGACAGCCAUGCACCACCUGUACACCGACCCAAAGGGGGGCCAUGUCUCCACAGCUUUCCGGUGUAUGUCAAGCCUUGGUAAGGUUCUUCGCGUUGCGUCGAAUUAAGCCACAUGCUCCGCCGCUUGUGCGGGCCCCCGUCAAUUCCUUUGAGUCUUAACCUUGCGGCCGUACUCCCCAGGUGGAGCAUGUGGUUUAAUUCGAAGCAACGCGCAGAACCUUACCAGCGUUUGACAUCCUCAUCGCGGAUUUCAGAGAUGAUUUACUUCAGUUCGGCUGG
RNAcentral lists this unclassified non-coding RNA (400 nucleotides) under uncultured Actinomycetes bacterium. Its description in RNAcentral is "uncultured actinobacterium contains 16S-23S intergenic spacer region". Lineage: Bacteria; Bacillati; Actinomycetota; Actinomycetes. The record is from RNAcentral.